This 429-nucleotide ribosomal RNA is filed under the name Bacteroidota bacterium. RNAcentral's name for it is "Bacteroidetes bacterium partial 16S ribosomal RNA". It matches the Rfam family "Bacterial small subunit ribosomal RNA", at positions 355 to 776 of the family's 1533-position model. The record is from RNAcentral. Lineage: Bacteria; Pseudomonadati; Bacteroidota.
UAGGGAAUCUUCCGCAAUGGACGCAAGUCUGACGGAGCAACGCCGCGUGAGUGAAGAAGGAUUUCGGUUCGUAAAACUCUGUUGUGAGAGAAGAACAGCGCAUAGAGUAACUGUUAUGCGUGUGACGGUAUCUAACCAGAAAGCCACGGCUAACUACGUGCCAGCAGCCGCGGUAAUACGUAGGUGGCAAGCGUUGUCCGGAUUUAUUGGGCGUAAAGCGAGCGCAGGCGGUCAAUUAAGUCUGAUGUGAAAGCCCCCGGCUCAACCGGGGAGGGUCAUUGGAAACUGGUUGACUUGAGUGCAGAAGAGGAGAGUGGAAUUCCAUGUGUAGCGGUGAAAUGCGUAGAUAUAUGGAGGAACACCGGUGGCGAAAGCGGCUCUCUGGUCUGUAACUGACGCUGAGGCUCGAAAGCGUGGGGAGCGAACAGG